Molecule: ribosomal RNA, 253 nt
Filed under: uncultured bacterium
Lineage: Bacteria
Description: partial 16S ribosomal RNA
Rfam family: Bacterial small subunit ribosomal RNA
Source: RNAcentral
UACAGAGGAGCCAAGCGUUGUCCGGAUUGACUGGGCGUAAAGCGCACGCAGGCGGUUUGGCGCGUGGGGUGUGAAAUCUGGCCGCUUAACGGCCAGGCGCCAUCCCAUACGGCUAGACUGGAGUGAUGCAGAGGUCGGUGGAAUUCCCGGUGUAGCGGUGGAAUGCGUAGAGAUCGGGAAGAACAUCAGUGGCGAAGGCGGCCUGCUGGGCUGUUGCUGACGCUGAGGCGCGACAGCGUGGGGAGCAAACAGG